GGUGAGUUUCAGAACCUAGGGUUUCCGGUGUUGGACCUAGGGUUUUCUUUGUUGAUUGAAGGCCGAUCUUCUCCGGUAGCGAAGAAGGAGGGUAACUCUGUCCUCAUUUUGACUAUUAUAUGCUUUGAAUGUGACUACCUGGUUCUGUAUGUGACUAUCUGGUUCCGUUAUAUUUUUCUUGCCGACACUGUUUUUAAGCUGAUUCAUUAAUCAUGGCUUCUAAUACCACUGUUGGUACCUCCUCCUCGGUAGACUCUACCAGCCCCAUUUUUGUAUAUUCCUCUGAUGUCCCUGGGGUCUCUCUUGUCCCCACUCCCUUCUCGGGUAGUGGUUAUGGGGGUUGGAGACGCAAGAUGAUUGUUGCAUUAUCUGCUAAAAACAAAAUCGGAUUUGUUGACGGCUCAUGUCCUCGACCUACCAGGGUAGUGGUUAUGGGGGUUGGAGGCAUAAAAUGAUUGUUGCAUUAUCUGCUAAAAAUAAAAUCGGAUUUGUUGACGGGUCAUGUCCUCGACCUACCACUAAUGUGGCUCAACAGAGACUGUGGGAUAGAUGUAAUAACAUGGUCAUUUCCUGGUUGACCUCUUCCCUGUCUCUUCAGAUUGCUGAUAGUGUGCAGUAUUCCGAUACUGCACAGAGUAUAUGGUUCCAAAUUGAGAAAAGAUAUGGUACUCCUAACAAGACCAAAAUUUUUGAAUUAAAAAGGGAACUUUCUCACACAUCUCAAGGCUGUUUAGAUGUAGCCUCAUAUUUUAACAA
This 756-nucleotide long non-coding RNA is filed under the name Nicotiana benthamiana. RNAcentral's name for it is "long non-coding RNA (NBEN_LNC005607)". Lineage: Eukaryota; Viridiplantae; Streptophyta; Magnoliopsida; Solanales; Solanaceae. The record is from RNAcentral.